GACGAACGCUGGCGGCGUGCCUAAUACAUGCAAGUAGAACGCUGAAGCUUGGUGCUUGCCCCGAGCGGCUGAGUUGCGAACGGGUGAGUAACGCGUAGGUAACCUGCCUGGUAGCGGGGGAUAACUAUUGGAAACGAUAGCUAAUACCGCAUAAGAGUAGAUGUUGCAUGACAUUUGCUUAAAAGGUGCAAUUGCAUCACUACCAGAUGGACCUGCGUUGUAUUUGCAUGUUGGUGAGGUAACGGCUCACCAAGGCAAGGAUACAUAGCCGACCUGAGAGGGUGAUCGGCCACACUGAGACGGUGACACGGCACAGACGCAUACGGGAGGCAGCAGUAGGGAAUCUUGGGAAAUGGACGGAAGACUGACCGAGAAACGCGGAAGGAGUGAAGAAGGUUUUCGGAUGGUAAAGGUCGGUUGUCAGAGAAGAACGAGUUUGAGGCUGGGAAGUUCACAGUGUGACGGUAGCUUAACAAAAAGGGACGGCUAACUACGUG
This 497-nucleotide ribosomal RNA is filed under the name uncultured bacterium. RNAcentral describes it as "partial 16S ribosomal RNA". It matches the Rfam family "Bacterial small subunit ribosomal RNA", at positions 28 to 507 of the family's 1533-position model. The record is from RNAcentral.